This 445-nucleotide ribosomal RNA is filed under the name uncultured bacterium. RNAcentral's name for it is "partial 16S ribosomal RNA". It matches the Rfam family "Bacterial small subunit ribosomal RNA", at positions 354 to 796 of the family's 1533-position model. The record is from RNAcentral.
GUGAGGAAUAUUGCGCAAUGGAGGCAACUCUGACGCAGCCAUGCCGCGUGCAGGAAGAAGGCGCUACGCGUUGUAAACUGCUUUUAACCGGGAAGAAACCCCAGGACGUGUCCUGGGUUGACGGUACCGGAGGAAUAAGCACCGGCUAACUUCGUGCCAGCAGCCGCGGUAAUACGAAGGGUGCAAGCGUUAUCCGGAUCCAUUGGGUUUAACGGGUGCGUAGGCGGAGCGUUAAGUCAGUGGUGAAAUCCUGCAGCUUAACUGUAGACUUGCCAUGGAUACUGGCGCUCUUGAGUGCGCAUGAAGUGGGCGGAAUGUGCCGUGUAGCGGUGAAAUGCUUAGAUAUGGCACAGAACACCAAUUGCGAAGGCAGCUCACUAAGGCGAUACUGACGCUGAGGCACGAAAGCGUGGGGAUCGAACAGGAUUAGAAACCCCGGUAGUCC